CCCUAUGCUGCCGAGAAAAGCCUCUAGUGAGUGUCGUGGCGGCCCGUACCCCAAACCGACUCAGGUGGUCAGGUAGAGAAUACCAAGGCGAUCGGGUGAACUGUGGUUAAGGAACUCGGCAAAUUGCCCCCGUAACUUCGGGAGAAGGGGGGCCUCCGCUGGUGAUCAGACUUGCUUUGUGAGCUGGUGGGGGUCGCAGAGGCCAGGGGGAAGCGACUGUUUACUAAAAACACAGGUCCGUGCGAAGUCGUAAGACGAUGUAUACGGACUGACGCCUGCCCGGUGCUGGAACGUUAAGGGGACCGGUUAGCGCACUUCGGUGUGCGAGGCUGAGAACUUAAGCGCCAGUAAACGGCGGUGGUAACUAUAACCAUCCUAAGGUAGCGAAAUUCCUUGUCGGGUAAGUUCCGACCUGCACGAAUGGCGUAACGACUUCCCCGCUGUCUCAACCGCAGACCCGGCGAAAUUGCACUACGAGUAAAGAUGCUCGUUACGCGCAGCAGGACGGAAAGACCCCGGGACCUUCACUACAGCUUGACAUUGGCGUUUGGAACGUCUUGUGUAGGAUAGGUGGGAGACUGUGAAGCUGUCACGCUAGUGGCGGUGGAGUCAUUGGUGAAAUACCACUCUGGUCGUUUUGAACGUCUAACUUCGGUCCGUGAUCCGGAUCAGGGACAGUGUCUGGUGGGUAGUUUAACUGGGGCGGUUGCCUCCUAAAGAGUAACGGAGGCGCCCAAAGGUUCCCUCAGCCUGGUUGGUAAUCAGGUGUCGAGUGUAAGUGCACAAGGGAGCUUGACUGUGAGACCGACGGGUCGAGCAGGAGCGAAAGCUGGGACUAGUGAUCCGGCGGUGGCAUGUGGAAGCGCCGUCGCUCAACGGCUAAAAGGUACCCCGGGGAUAACAGGCUGAUCUUCCCCAAGAGUCCAUAUCGACGGGAUGGUUUGGCACCUCGAUGUCGGCUCGUCGCAUCCUGGGGCUGGAGUAGGUCCCAAGGGUUGGGCUGUUCGCCCAUUAAAGCGGUACGCGAGCUGGGUUUAGAACGUCGCGAGACAGUUCGGUCCCUAUCCGCUGCGCGCGCAGGAGACUUGAAAGGAGCUGUCCCUAGUACGAGAGGACCGGGACGGACGAACCUCUGGUGUGCCAGUUGUUCCGCCAGGAGCAUGGCUGGUUGGCUACGUUCGGAAGGGAUAACCGCUGAAAGCAUCUAAGCGGGAAGCUCGCCUUGAGAUGAGGUCUCCCACCACGUGAGUGGGUAAGGCCCCCGGGAGACGACCGGGUUGAUAGGCCGGAGGUGGAAGCAUGGUAACGUGCGGAGCUGACCGGUACUAAUAGGCCGAGGACUUGAUC
Molecule: ribosomal RNA, 1347 nt
Filed under: metagenome
Description: bacterial LSU rRNA
Rfam family: Bacterial large subunit ribosomal RNA
Source: RNAcentral